UCGGAUGAAUACAGCUGCAACCCUUUCCUUAUUCUCUCCCUCAAAACAUAUAGAGCUGGAUUUGACUUCAUGAUUUUGCUCAUUGCUUGAGCAAUUAGAGGUUUUGAUCCCGGGAACCAAUUGCCAAAGGCAGAGUGCAAGUUAUAUGCAAGGUCAAUACCGAUCAUUACUCCAGUUGGGGCAGGAUAGAUAGACAUGUUG
RNAcentral lists this unclassified non-coding RNA (201 nucleotides) under Hevea brasiliensis (rubber tree). Lineage: Eukaryota; Viridiplantae; Streptophyta; Magnoliopsida; Malpighiales; Euphorbiaceae. The record is from RNAcentral.